CGAACGCUGGCGGCGUGCUUAACACAUGCAAGUCGAACGGAAAGGCCCUGCUUUUGUGGGGUGCUCGAGUGGCGAACGGGUGAGUAACACGUGAGUAACCUGCCCUUGACUUUGGGAUAACUUUAGGAAACUGGGGCUAAUACCGGAUAGGAGCUCCUGCUGCAUGGUGGGGGUUGGAAAGUUUCGGCGGUUGGGGAUGGACUCGCGGCUUAUCAGCUUGUUGGUGGGGUAGUGGCUUACCAAGGCUUUGACGGGUAGCCGGCCUGAGAGGGUGACCGGCCACAUUGGGACUGAGAUACGGCCCAGACUCCUACGGGAGGCAGCAGUGGGGAAUAUUGCACAAUGGGCGGAAGCCUGAUGCAGCAACGCCGCGUGCGGGAUGACGGCCUUCGGGUUGUAAACCGCUUUCGCCUGUGACGAAGCGUGAGUGACGGUAAUGGGUAAAGAAGCACCGGCUAACUACGUG
This 466-nucleotide ribosomal RNA is filed under the name uncultured bacterium. RNAcentral's name for it is "partial 16S ribosomal RNA". It matches the Rfam family "Bacterial small subunit ribosomal RNA", at positions 30 to 507 of the family's 1533-position model. The record is from RNAcentral.